AAUUUAUACAGUGAAACUGCGAAUGGCUCAUUAAAUCAGUUAUCGUUUAUUUGAUAGUUCCUUUACUACAUGGUAUAACUGUGGUAAUUCUAGAGCUAAUACAUGCUUAAAAUCUCGACCCUUUGGAAGAGAUGUAUUUAUUAGAUAAAAAAUCAAUGUCUUCGGACUCUUUGAUGAUUCAUAAUAACUUUUCGAAUCGCAUGGCCUUGUGCUGGCGAUGGUUCAUUCAAAUUUCUGCCCUAUCAACUUUCGAUGGUAGGAUAGUGGCCUACCAUGGUUUCAACGGGUAACGGGGAAUAAGGGUUCGAUUCCGGAGAGGGAGCCUGAGAAACGGCUACCACAUCCAAGGAAGGCAGCAGGCGCGCAAAUUACCCAAUCCUAAUUCAGGGAGGUAGUGACAAUAAAUAACGAUACAGGGCCCAUUCGGGUCUUGUAAUUGGAAUGAGUACAAUGUAAAUACCUUAACGAGGAACAAUUGGAGGGCAAGUCUGGUGCCAGCAGCCGCGGUAAUUCCAGCUCCAAUAGCGUAUAUUAAAGUUGUUGCAGUUAAAAAGCUCGUAGUUGAACUUUGGGCCCGGUUGGCCGGUCCGAUUUUUUCGUGUACUGGAUUUCCAACGGGGCCUUUCCUUCUGGCUAACCUUGAGUCCUUGUGGCUCUUGGCGAACCAGGACUUUUACUUUGAAAAAAUUAGAGUGUUCAAAGCAGGCGUAUUGCUCGAAUAUAUUAGCAUGGAAUAAUAGAAUAGGACGUUUGGUUCUAUUUUGUUGGUUUCUAGGACCAUCGUAAUGAUUAAUAGGGACGGUCGGGGGCAUCAGUAUUCAAUUGUCAGAGGUGAAAUUCUUGGAUUUAUUGAAGACUAACUACUGCGAAAGCAUUUGCCAAGGACGUUUUCAUUAAUCAAGAACGAAAGUUAGGGGAUCGAAGAUGAUCAGAUACCGUCGUAGUCUUAACCAUAAACUAUGCCGACUAGGGAUCGGGUGGUGUUUUUUUAAUGACCCACUCGGCACCUUACGAGAAAUCAAAGUCUUUGGGUC
Molecule: ribosomal RNA, 1034 nt
Filed under: Saccharomyces cerevisiae (brewer's yeast)
Lineage: Eukaryota; Fungi; Ascomycota; Saccharomycetes; Saccharomycetales; Saccharomycetaceae
Description: SSU rRNA
Rfam family: Eukaryotic small subunit ribosomal RNA
Source: RNAcentral